This 74-nucleotide transfer RNA is filed under the name Falco tinnunculus (common kestrel). RNAcentral's name for it is "tRNA-Val". Lineage: Eukaryota; Metazoa; Chordata; Aves; Falconiformes; Falconidae. The record is from RNAcentral. RNAcentral also lists the same sequence under 1 other name.
CAGGGCGUAGCUAUAAAAACCAAAGCACUCAGCUUACACCUGAAAGAUGUCUACCACCAGCCAGACCGCCCUGA